Molecule: non-coding RNA, 222 nt
Organism: Vicia faba (fava bean)
Lineage: Eukaryota; Viridiplantae; Streptophyta; Magnoliopsida; Fabales; Fabaceae
Source: the annotation of a GenBank genome assembly
AUGAAGGCAAGUGACUCAUCAUCCAGCAUACCUAAUUUUGAUAGUGACCGGUUUCGCUCUAAGAAGUAUGAAGAGUAUUACGUGACUACGCAUAAACGAGGAAUGCUCCUAAGGGUGAAGCCAAAUUGGAGGCAUCUUAGGGCUCAAAUCCAAAAGCUAGAUACAGAUAAGCAAAAAUGGGCUUCUAUUCCCCAUGAAAUGGAAGUCUUACGUCAAAAGUGA